Nosema bombycis CQ1 is the source of this 71-nucleotide transfer RNA. It matches the Rfam family "tRNA". From Rfam's summary of the family: Transfer RNA (tRNA) molecules are approximately 80 nucleotides in length. Their secondary structure includes four short double-helical elements and three loops (D, anti-codon, and T loops). Further hydrogen bonds mediate the characteristic L-shaped molecular structure. tRNAs have two regions of fundamental functional importance: the anti-codon, which is responsible for specific mRNA codon recognition, and the 3' end, to which the tRNAs corresponding amino acid is attached (by aminoacyl-tRNA synthetases). tRNAs cope with the degeneracy of the genetic code in two manners: having more than one tRNA (with a specific anti-codon) for a particular amino acid; and 'wobble' base-pairing, i.e. permitting non-standard base-pairing at the 3rd anti-codon position. The record is from Rfam. NCBI's taxonomy places the organism in Eukaryota, Fungi, Microsporidia, Nosematidae.
GCUCCGGUGGUCAAGUGGUAUGACAAUAGCCUUCCAAGCUGUUAGCCUGGGUUCGAUUCCCGGUCGGUGCA